UACCCGCGGCAAGACGGAAAGACCCCGUGAACCUUUACUAUAGCUUGACACUGAACACUGGUCCUUGAUGUGUAGGAUAGGUGGGAGGCUUUGAAGCGUGGACGCCAGUCUGCGUGGAGCCGUCCUUGAAAUACCACCCUUUAAUGGCUGGUGUUCUAACGUGGACCCGUGAUCCGGGUUGCGGACAGUGUCUGGUGGGUAGUUUGACUGGGGCGGUCUCCUCCCAAAGAGUAACGGAGGAGCACG
This 246-nucleotide ribosomal RNA is filed under the name Enterobacter cloacae complex sp. P43RS. RNAcentral describes it as "partial 23S ribosomal RNA". It matches the Rfam family "Bacterial large subunit ribosomal RNA", at positions 2067 to 2312 of the family's 2925-position model. The record is from RNAcentral. Lineage: Bacteria; Pseudomonadati; Pseudomonadota; Gammaproteobacteria; Enterobacterales; Enterobacteriaceae.